CAGUCCCUUCCAAGAUGUUGCACUGCAGCUCUGUGAGUUCUUGUGACUUUGCAUGUGAUUCCUGAUCUUCUAUCCUUGAGUGUCCCCAGAAUAGUCUGGUGGGAUAUAGCUGAUCAUGUAUCAGGAACCUGUUGACACUUGAGACCAGUCCUGUCCUGGCACUAAGGAAAGGGAUCAGUUCAGACACAAACUCUGCCAGCCUUUGAGCAAAGCUGCAUUUUUCACUGUUUGAGUGCAAGUCUUGGCUUUUUUGUGUCUUUGGAGCUUUGUGAGCUGCUGAUUCAGAUGUGUCCCAAGUGCUCUAGUGGAUCUGCAGGCUUGUCUCUGGGAAGAUUGAGCGUGUCAUUAAUGCUGACUGUUCUCUAGCAGAUAUCAUGGGCAAGAUGAGAAUCUGUCCCUUCUCUUCCCUGUGAACUUCAUGUGUUCUGAGCCAUCAGUGUUUGUCCAACCCUUUUUGAACUGCUGAAACUUCACCAAAAUAAAAAACUGUUAAAAUUAAACUGUUAAAA
Long non-coding RNA from Melospiza melodia melodia, 509 nucleotides. RefSeq lists it as uncharacterized. The transcript is spliced from 2 exons. Lineage: Eukaryota; Metazoa; Chordata; Aves; Passeriformes; Passerellidae. The record is from RefSeq and is a predicted model, not a curated record.